AACGUAGGAGACAAACGUUAUCCGGAGUUACUGGGCGUAAAGGGCGUGUAGGUGGUUACGUAAGUCUGGCGUGAAAUUUUUCGGCUUAACCGGGAAAGGUCGUCGGGUACUGCGGGACUAGAGGACGGUAGAGGCGUGUGGAAUUCCGGGUGUAGUGGUGAAAUGCGUAGAGAUCCGGAGGAACACCAGUGGCGAAGGCGACACGCUGGGCCGUACCUGACACUGAUGCGCGACAGCAUGGGGAGCAAACAGG
This 253-nucleotide ribosomal RNA is filed under the name uncultured bacterium. Its description in RNAcentral is "partial 16S ribosomal RNA". It matches the Rfam family "Bacterial small subunit ribosomal RNA", at positions 524 to 776 of the family's 1533-position model. The record is from RNAcentral.